UGGGGAAUCUUCCGCAAUGGACGAAAGUCUGACGGAGCAACGCCGCGUGAGUGAAGAAGGCCUUCGGGUCGUAAAGCUCUGUUAUUAGGGACGAACGUAUGCUAUGUGAAUAAUGUAGUAUAGUGACGGUACCUAAGGAGGAAGCCACGGCUAACUACGUGCCAGCAGCCGCGGUAAUACGUAGGUGGCAAGCGUUGUCCGGAAUUAUUGGGCGUAAAGCGCGCGCAGGUGGGAUAAUAAGUCUUUUGUAAAAGUGCGGGGCUCAACCCCGUAAAGCGACGGAUACUGUUAUUCUUGAGUGCAGGAGAGGAAAGCGGAAUUCCCAGUGUAGCGGUGAAAUGCGUAGAUAUUGGGAGGAACACCAGUGGCGAAGGCGGCUUUCUGGACUGUGUCUGACACUGAGGCGCGAAAGCUAGGGGAGCGAACG
This 427-nucleotide ribosomal RNA is filed under the name uncultured prokaryote. RNAcentral's name for it is "bacterial SSU rRNA". It matches the Rfam family "Bacterial small subunit ribosomal RNA", at positions 355 to 774 of the family's 1533-position model. The record is from RNAcentral.